AUGUAUGGGAUACUCUGAUCCCUAUAUUAAUUUGGAUACAGGGUAAGGGUGGAAAGGUGAGGUAAAAGCUCACCAGCAUUUAGGCGACUAAAUUGGCUAUGUAAACCCCACCUGGAGCAAGACCGAAUAGGGGAUAUAAAGUGGUUGCCCGCCGCAUCCCGGGAAAAGGUCGCUUGAGUCUGCCGGCAACGGUAGAUCUAGAUAGAUGAUCAUCCACGACAGAACUCGGCUUACGGCUUGCUCAUUAU
Molecule: RNase P RNA, 248 nt
Filed under: Clostridiales bacterium
Lineage: Bacteria; Bacillati; Bacillota; Clostridia; Eubacteriales
Description: partial RNase P RNA component class A
Rfam family: Bacterial RNase P class A
About the family: Ribonuclease P (RNase P) is a ubiquitous endoribonuclease, found in archaea, bacteria and eukarya as well as chloroplasts and mitochondria. Its best characterised activity is the generation of mature 5'-ends of tRNAs by cleaving the 5'-leader elements of precursor-tRNAs.
Source: RNAcentral